UCCGGGGCGGCCGCGGGCCUGCGGAGCGGCGCGGCCGAGGGGGCGCGCGGGGCGCGCGGCGCCAACGGUCACUGACGCAGGUAUGGUGUAUCUGAGUGUGGAAUCCUCUUCACCUGAAUAUCUUAGAGCUACAGAAUGGGUACACACUUUGAGAGCUUCGGUGGAGGAAGCCCUGGGAUUGUGUCAGCUAAGAAAGGAUCUUGCGCAAGUCUUCCCAUGGCCCCAGGAAAAAAGAGUGCACUGUAGUGUCAGAGAGUGAUUUUUUCUCUUCUCUCCUUGCCCUGUCUCUGAUGAUGUAUUAUUUUAUGUCACAUCUUGGUAUUUUAACUGUGGAACUAACCUUUUUACAAGUAGAGCAAAAGGUGAUGUGUAUUACAUUUCUUUUUGAAAACACUGUUAAGGAUCUUUUGGGUUUGCCCUUGUCCAUGUAGUGUAAAAUAAUGUUUGGAUGAUCAUGUUUUGCUUGGCUUCUUUCCAGAUUGUUUCUACUCACUUUACACUUCUCUCUGUGUAAUAUCUGACUGGUAAUCCCCCACAUAGGUGUGUAAUAAUAUAUUACAUAGUCUUUUUUACUACCCUCUUCUAGGAAACAAAGGCAUUGGCAGUAGUAAUGUUUUUGCAUUUAUUAAUAAAGAAACAAAAGUAGUCUUGAUGU
Molecule: long non-coding RNA, 655 nt
Filed under: Apteryx rowi (Okarito brown kiwi)
Lineage: Eukaryota; Metazoa; Chordata; Aves; Apterygiformes; Apterygidae
Description: lncRNA (ENSARWG00000007058.1)
Source: RNAcentral